AGCCUGAACGCUGGCGGCGUGGCUAAGACAUGCAAGUCGAACGGGUGGCAGCAAUGCCAUCCAGUGGCGAAAGGGUGAGUAAUGUAUCGCUAACGUACCCCGGACUCUGGGAUAGCCGGCCGAAAGGUCGGGUAAUACCGGAUGAGACCACAAGCAGGCAUCUGCUGGUGCUCAAAGGUCCGCCGGUCUGGGAGCGGGCGAUAUCGGUAUCAGCUAGUUGGCGGGUAACGGCCCACCAAGGCGACGACGCGUAACCGGACUGAGAGGUCGGCCGGUCACAUCGGGACUGAGACACUGCCCGGACUCCUACGGGGGCUGCAGUAACGAAUCUUCCGCAAUGCGCGAAAGCGUGACGGAGCGACGCCGCGUGUGGGAUGAAGUCCUUCGGGAUGUAAACCACUGUCAGGGGUUAGAAAGUUCUGAUCAACCCCAGAGGAAGGCACGGCUAACUCUGUGCCAGCAGCCGC
Molecule: ribosomal RNA, 467 nt
Filed under: uncultured bacterium
Lineage: Bacteria
Description: SSU rRNA
Rfam family: Bacterial small subunit ribosomal RNA
Source: RNAcentral